UACGUAGGGUGCAGGCGUUAAUCGGAAUUACUGGGCGUAAAGCGUGCGCAGGCGGCUUCCUAAGUCAGAUGUGAAAUCCCCGGGCUCAACCUGGGAACUGCGUUUGAAACCGGGAGGCUAGAGUGCGGCAGAGGGGGGUGGAAUUCCACGUGUAGCAGUGAAAUGCGUAGAUAUGUGGAGGAACACCGAUGGCGAAGGCAGCCCCCUGGGCCAGCACUGACGCUCAUGCACGAAAGCGUGGGGAGCAAACAGG
RNAcentral lists this ribosomal RNA (253 nucleotides) under uncultured bacterium. RNAcentral's name for it is "partial 16S ribosomal RNA". It matches the Rfam family "Bacterial small subunit ribosomal RNA", at positions 524 to 776 of the family's 1533-position model. The record is from RNAcentral.